AAGAAUUGGCAACUUGAAAGUCUCAAAGAUAAGUCCACCGUGGUUUAGGAAAGGACUGGGUGAAAUCUCCUUUCUUCAUUCAUUCUACAAACUUACACUGGCCUGCUACAUGUCAGACACUGUUCUAAGAGCUGCCGACAAGGUGAUGAACAAAUAGCAAAUGGACUGGAUCCCUACCUUGGUAGAGUUUCAGUUCUAACAUGGGGAUUGGUUAGAGCCACAGCCUUUAGGCCUCACUGGACUUGAAGCUUCAAAAGAAGAGGAACCUUGCCUGCCCUGUUAAAGCCUGGUAUCCCCGGCACCAGUACAGAGCCUUGAUGAACAGCUGUGAUGUUGUCAGAGAUAAGGAGAAACCCCACCAGUAGUAUUCCAGUUGAUCUCAGUUGAUCAGAAAUAAGGAGAAUUCAGCAGUAUCCCAGUUGAUCAGAAAAAAAAAAACAUAAAAAAUUCAAGACGGAUGUCUUGGGUAAUUGCAUGGAAUUUCUAGUAAGUGUCAAGUAUUUAGGAUUAAAAAAAAUCUCCUGACUUCAGCAGAAUAACCCAAAAACUCUCAUUAGUUACUCCACAUUAUUUAAAUAUAUAUUUUUCCUUCAAUGUUUUAGGUGAUGAAGAAGAUUAAGAAUGAUUCCAUAACGGUCAGUACAGUAUUUCACAUUCACUGACCUUUUGUGUAAUUUGAUAUGCUCCUUCAGGAAGUCAGCCAUGGCAUGUUAGGGGAAAGCUUGAUUUAUAAACAUUGCUCAUGGGUGUGUGG
This 754-nucleotide long non-coding RNA is filed under the name Homo sapiens (human). RNAcentral describes it as "non-protein coding lnc-ATG4C-3:2". Lineage: Eukaryota; Metazoa; Chordata; Mammalia; Primates; Hominidae. The record is from RNAcentral.